This 976-nucleotide ribosomal RNA is filed under the name Serrognathus titanus pilifer. Its description in RNAcentral is "partial 16S ribosomal RNA". The stretch from base 425 to 632 matches the Rfam family "Archaeal large subunit ribosomal RNA", at positions 1794 to 2108 of the family's 2987-position model. Lineage: Eukaryota; Metazoa; Arthropoda; Insecta; Coleoptera; Lucanidae. The record is from RNAcentral.
AAAAUAUAUCUUAUAUAAGAUUAUCUCGAAUUUAGAAGAGCUAGGGGAUUAUUAAUUUUAAUGUGGAAUAAUUAUUUAAAAUAUUUUCCUUGUUAUUAGACGUUAGUCGGUUUUAAAUAUAUCUAGUUUUCAAAGAAAUUAAUUUAAUUAGGCCUGUUUAAUUAAUUAAUUAUUUGGAUAAUUAGUUAUUGAACAGAGAAAUAUUCAGGGGGAUAAGCUCUUGAUUAAAUUAUCUAAAAAUACUGAGUUUGAAAGGUUAAAUAGGAAUAGAAGUUUUCAUUUUUUGUAGUGUGUUAUAUCAAGAUUUUUAAAUAGUUGAUUUGUUUUUUUUUAGACUUUUUAUUUGAAUGUUGAAUUUAAUUUUAAAUUUUAAGUAAUAAUGAUUAAAUUAGUAUAAUUAGUUGUUUUAAAAUUAUUAAUAGGGAAUUUUAGUUAAGGAAUUCGGCAAAUUUAUUUUCUGCCUGUUUAUUAAAAACAUGUCCUUUAGGUUUAUUAUUUAAGGUCAGGCCUGCCCAAUGAUAAAAUUAAAUGGCCGCGGUAUUUUGACCGUGCAAAGGUAGCAUAAUCAUUAGUUUUUUAAUUGAAAGCUGGAAUGAACGGUCUGACAAGAAAAUUACUGUCUCGGUUAAAUAAUUAGAAUUUUAUUUUUUAGUAAAAAAGCUUAGAUGUUUUUAUGGGACGAGAAGACCCUAUAGAAUUUUAUAAUUUUUUUUUGAUUGGGUUUUUAGUUUAAUUGUCCUAAUUAUGAAAAAUUUAAUUUGUUGGGGUGACAGGAAAAUUUAUUUAACUUUUCUUAAGUUUUUUCACUUAUUUGUGUUUUUGUGAUCCAUUUUUUAUGAUUAUAAGAUUAAAUUACCUUAGGGAUAACAGCGUUAUUAAUUUGGAGAGUUCUUAUUGAUAAAUUAGUUUGCGACCUCGAUGUUGGAUUAAAAUUUAUUUUCGGUGUAGGGGCUGAAGAAUUAAGUCUGUUCGACUU